UAAAGGUGAUUUCUUUCAUUCAUCCAAUACCAAUCACCAUAAUCAUGUNCAAUCAAUUGCUCUCCAAAAAGAAACACGUUCCAACCUCCCAAAAAAAGGUUUCCGCUGCAGCAAAGGUUGAAUCUGCCGAGAGAGUGAGAGUCCCCAUGAGUGACGGCUGCUGCCCUACAAAGAGGCCAAGUGUUGCCUCUAAAAUGGGUGGGGUCCACC
RNAcentral lists this long non-coding RNA (210 nucleotides) under Vigna radiata. RNAcentral describes it as "long non-coding RNA (VRAD_LNC006581)". Lineage: Eukaryota; Viridiplantae; Streptophyta; Magnoliopsida; Fabales; Fabaceae. The record is from RNAcentral.